This 584-nucleotide ribosomal RNA is filed under the name Rallus aquaticus. RNAcentral describes it as "partial 16S ribosomal RNA". It matches the Rfam family "Bacterial large subunit ribosomal RNA", at positions 848 to 1968 of the family's 2925-position model. The record is from RNAcentral. Lineage: Eukaryota; Metazoa; Chordata; Aves; Gruiformes; Rallidae.
GCUGGUUGCCCGUGAGACGAAUAUAAGUUCACCCUUAAUUUUACCCCCUAGACCUAAUCACUUAAUCGUAAAAAUUAAGAGCAAUUUAAAGGAGGUACAGCUCCUUUAAAACAGGAUACAACCUUCUCUAGAGGAUAAGCCAAAAUACCCCCUAACUUGUAGGCCCUUAAGCAGCCACCAACAAAGAGUGCGUCAAAGCUCCACACUAAAAAAAAUCCAAGAAUUCGUGCGACUCCCUCCCCCUUAACGGGCUAACCUAUUAAAAAUAGGAGCAUUAAUGCUAGAAUAAGUAACUAAGGAACCCCCUUCUAAAGCACAAACUUAAAUCAAACAUUAUUAACAGGCCCACUAAUAGCCCAACCAUUACAAGACCAACUAUCCAAUAACCUGUUAAACCAACCCAGGAGUGCUAAACUAGAAAGAUUUAAACCUGUAAAAGGAACUAGGCAAACCCAAGGCCCGACUGUUUACCAAAAACAUAGCCUUCAGCAAAAAAUAUCAAGUAUUGAAGGUGAUGCCUGCCCAGUGACACCACCAAGUUCAACGGCCGCGGUAUCCUAACCGUGCAAAGGUAGCGCAAUCAA